Molecule: long non-coding RNA, 1132 nt
Organism: Gopherus evgoodei (Goodes thornscrub tortoise)
Lineage: Eukaryota; Metazoa; Chordata; Testudines; Testudinidae
Exons: 3
Source: RefSeq, a predicted model, not a curated record
CUUUACUACAUUGCUCAAAGUGGUUUUGAUUAAAACAGAGAUAUGUAUACAGGUUAUGGUUAUGAAUAUAUAUAUACACACACACACACAGCUAUAUACACACACAUACAGACAGAUAUAGAGAUAUAAACGGUAAUUGUAACUCUGGUUCAACUUCAGCAUCACCUCACAACAGGGUGAUGAAGCACUACAGAAGGGAGGGGCUAUCUCCCCAACCAUAGGAGACUGGUUUCAAGCAUCUUGAAUGGUCUCGAACUAGAGAUCUUGAUCUGUUUUAUCUUGUAUUUAGCUGUGCCAUUCUGAGUACCUUUCUCUGAUCUGAGGCAGGGCUCUGUGUAGCUCGAAAGCCUGCCUCUCUCACCAACAGAAGUUGGUCCAAUAAAAGAUAUUACCUCAUCCACCUUGUCCUCUCUCUGCAACUGACAUGGCUACUACACUGCAUAUACCAGGCCCUUGUCCAGCCCAGGAGUAAACAAUGAGGAAUCAUCAAAGCAAAUGGGAACAGCUUGAAACUGAAAAGAAACCCCAGUCUUCAGAAACUAAGACAGGAGAGAGUUUUCUCCACUUUGAAUAUCUGUAAUGACUGAAGGAAAAAACUGCCACCCCUAAAAUGGAAGGAGUUUGAACUGAAGAUCAUCCAGAAUUUGAAGGACUGUCUGGAUCCCUCCUACAGCAGGUGCCCGGUGUGCAAACUGUGUGGAGUGUGUAUGCCAUAGUGAGCUAACUGGAAGAAUGGUUUCAUGACUUCAGGGGUUAUGAACCAGAGGGGAACAGUCCAAGCACCUGAUAAUUCAGAAUUCAGGGAGGAUUUAUUUGGAGAGACUUGGGACCGGAGGGCUGCUGUUAUCGUCUCUGCAAAGAAUAACUACAUUGGUGAAAGCCAAGGGACUCGGAGUGGCUCUCUCACUACAGAAGCAGCUUUGCCUCUCCUGAAAUUGACACCUCCUCAUCUAUUAUUGGGAGUGGACUACAUCCGUCCUGAUUGAAUUGGCUUUGUCAACACUGGUUCUCCACUUGUGAGGUACUCCCUUCUCUUCACAUGUCAUUACAUAAUGCCUAUAUUUGUAACUUUCACUCCAUGCAUCUGAAGAAAUGAGGUUUUUUACCCAUGAAAGCUUAUGUCCAAAUAAAU